This is a long non-coding RNA of Gorilla gorilla gorilla (western lowland gorilla), 2501 nucleotides long. RefSeq lists it as uncharacterized. The transcript is spliced from 6 exons. The record is from RefSeq and is a predicted model, not a curated record. Lineage: Eukaryota; Metazoa; Chordata; Mammalia; Primates; Hominidae.
ACCAUGUUUGCCAGGAUGGUCUCAAUCUCCUGACCUCGUGAUCCGCCCGCCUCGGCCUCCCAAAGUGCUGGGAUUACAGGUGUGAGCCACUGCGCCCAGCACCCUGCUCCCUUAUUAAUUGCUGUGGCUCUCAGUCCUCCAGGAAGGCUACAUGGUUAGGGGUUGACCAAGUCCCACCUGCCUGCUGCCUGUGCCAUUCCUGCAGAGCUCCAGCCGUCUAGGAGUACUGGGUUAAGUGUAUUUUAAAACCAAGGCCAGGGCUGGGUAUGGUGGCUCAUGCCUGUAAUCCCAACAGUUUGGGAGGCCGAGGCAGGUGGAUCACUUGAGGUCACGAGUUCGAAGCCAGACUGGCCAACAUGGUGAAACCCCGUCUCUACUAAAAAUACAAAAAUUAGCUGGGUAUGGUGGUGCACACCUGUAAUCCCAGCUACUCGGGAGGCUGAAGCAGGAGAAUCGCUUGAACCCAGGAAGAGGAGGUUGCAGUGAACUGAAAUCACGCCACUGCACUCCAGCCUGCCUGAGCGACAGAGCAAGACUCUGUCUCAAAAAAACAACAACAACAAGGCCAAAUGUCACCCCAUGAUCUUACAAGGGAACAGUCAGAAUCCAAAUCCUAAGCACACAAAGCUACUUUCUUAAGGGCAAUGGGAGAGGGAAAUUGUGAUGGCCCCAAGCUAGAACCUAAAUUACACCUUUACUUUAGAACUGAGUAUAGAAGGAUACAUAUCCUAGGGCACAGAUGGGACACCUCUGUCCAUGCUAGAAGAAUUCUAUGUGUGUUUGGAGGUGGCAUAGCAUACCUGUUAGAAAGGCUUUGCUAUUUACUACUGUGGGACCACAAGCAAGUUAUCUCUUUUCUGAACCUCAGUUUCCUCAACUAUAAAAAAGAGAUACGGAUGCUUAGCUAAUAUUGCUGGAAUUGAAUGCAGAAAUGAAACAAAGCUUUUAGCACAGGGCUUUACCCUAACAGGCACUUUCUGUUAAGAGUGGUUUAUUACCAGGUAGGUAACUAAGCAAGGAAGAUGUGUGUUAAUCAAUUUGGCAUGAGAUUUAAAAAUUAUUACCCAACACAUUAUUUUCACUAAAGUAUCCUUGGUUAAAACUCAGUUAAUACUAGCAUUCAAUAAGAUAACUCAAAUUUCUCCAAAAAAAUGGACAAAUUGGAUUUCUUCAAUUCAGUUGACUUACAAAAUGGUUUUAAUAUGAGAAUUGUCUAGUCAUAAGUUGUCACUCAAGAACAAAAAUUAUCUGUUCUGGCACUAACUGGCAUGUGAUUCUGGUGAGGCACAUCAUGACUCUGGGUCUCCUCUACAAACGAGGGGGUUGUGGGAGUGCCCUGGUUCCUUCCAUCUUGAACAUUCUGUGAUUCCAAAGUAGCACUCCAGCAUAGCCCUGAUUUACUUCUAGUUCCUUUCCUUUUCAGGACAUUGACAUAGAGUAGAACUUGCUUCCAAUACGUCUUAAAGGUUAAAUGUUACACACAGUGUACAGUCAAUGCAAGGAGGCCUGCACACAGUGAACUUCUGUCUAGGACUGCGGCCGGUAAGACCUUCCUGUGUGGACCGCAGCACUGCUCGGGAAAGCUGCCUGCAGGAGCUGUGAAGUUGCAGAAUUUUGAUUUAUUGGGAUGCAUCCUGGUGCUUGCCUACAGAUCUUGUUUUGCAAAGUGCAGAGGCAAUACAUGGAGAUGCAGCAGCCGUCUUGUGAUCAUGAGGACAAAGAUCAUUUACCAAGGAUGACAGAAGAGAAAGUUAGCAAGAGCCUUGACCCCUGAUGAGGUGAAGUCAUUUCACCAGCCUAGCACAGCUUCUAGUCUUCUUGGGAAUUCAUUCCACCCUGAAACAUUUUGGGGCCUGUACUAGAUACUGGAGACACAAAGGAGACUAGAACAUUCUCUGUCGUUGAAUUAUUCUCAGUCAAGUGAAGACAGAAACUGGUCUGAAAAUUUUGAAUAAUAAAGCCAUUUGUGACAGAGACGCAGCUCAUAUUGGAAGUGGAACUUACAUUUCCUGACUCAUAAUGAAGACCUCUAUGCUCAACACCACAUACAAAACAUGUGCGAUGUAUAAAAUGGAUGUUGCAAAUUCAUCCCACCUCCCGCUGCAGCUAUGAUACUCAGAGAAAGGUUGGGACGAGGCCUGCAGAGGAUGUGUUCUGGGUAUUUGGUGGCCUGCUGGUGAGCACUGGUGUUCCUUGAGGUCAACCUGUGCUGAGGACAGGAAUAUUUCACCCAAGUACAUAACUAAGAGAAGAUCACUCCCAGAAGAUUUCAUCCCCAAAAGCAAGAAGGUGAAGGACACUUGUACCCAGACAGUGAGAUCCACUGCCUCCUGCCAUGCUUUUAGCUCCCCCCACUGCUGAGCCCUCCUGACCAGAAAACCUGACGGGGCCGCCUUCUUCAUCCCUCAGUCUCACAGAGGUCCCAUAAAACUGAACCAGGCUUGGUGCUGACAGUGGGCCAGGGCAAUGUAGGCUCACUGGAGCUGGGUGAGAGUGUGACA